Molecule: ribosomal RNA, 506 nt
Filed under: uncultured bacterium
Lineage: Bacteria
Description: partial 16S ribosomal RNA
Rfam family: Bacterial small subunit ribosomal RNA
Source: RNAcentral
AUUGAACGCUGGCGGCAGGCCUAACACAUGCAAGUCGAACGGUAACAGGAAACAGCUUGCUGUUUCGCUGACGAGUGGCGGACGGGUGAGUAAUGUCUGGGAAACUGCCUGAUGGAGGGGGAUAACUACUGGAAACGGUAGCUAAUACCGCAUAACGUCGCAAGACCAAAGAGGGGGACCUUCGGGCCACUUGCCAUCGGAUGGGCCCAGAUGGGAUUAGCUAGUAGGUGGGGUAACGGCUCACCUAGGCGACGAUCCCUAGCUGGUCUGAGAGGAUGACCAGCCACACUGGAACUGAGACACGGCCCAGACUCCUACGGGAGGCAGCAGUGGGGAAUAUUGCACAAUGGGCGCAAGCCUGAUGCAGCCAUGCCGCGUGUAUGAAGAAGGCCUUCGGGUUGUAAAGUACUUUCAGCGGGGAGGAAGGGAGUAAAGUUAAUACCUUUGCUCAUUGACGUUACCCGCAGAAGAAGCACCGGCUAACUCCGUGCCAGCCGCCGCAGUAA